ACGUGUGUCUCAUACAGGUUGCUGGGUCUGGGAAUUAUGUCUCGACAAAAGCAUCAUUUGCUGUGGCUGAUGGUCAUCUGUUGUGUUACAUGCCAGAUAACCUGCUCAAAAAUGAUGAUAAUUGGCGAGAAUUUGACAGAUACAUGUUUCUUGAGCAUCAACAGAUCAACCUGUCCAGCUAUAAACCUGAUAUCUCCACCAUCAAAUGAAAUACUGAUAGGAGAUUUUUGCAUAGUGAAUGUCAAGCACAACACGUCUUCCACAGGACAUUGCAAAACAUACAGUUUCAACAUAACAAACAAUGGGGGGAAAUAUGAAGUAAGAAUGAAUGAGCUGGCUAAAAACAUUAAAAUGUGGUUUUUCCCAAAUCCAUCUAAGUGCCUUACAUCAGAACUCCUGAAUUCAACAGGAUCCAUAUCAAAUCAUAUUGUGACUUGUCAGACACAGCAAAACAACUCCGACAUCAACACCACCAAGACUACCACAAUCACUAACAACACUACCAUCACUACUACCAGCCCUAUCACCAUCACUACUACCAGCCCUAUCACCAUCACCACCCCAACUAACAGCUCUACCAACACUGACUCUACCAUCACUACUACCAGCCCUAUCACCAUCACCACCGAAUUGACCAGCUUCCUCGCUACUAACAACUCUACCACCACCACCACCACCACGACUAAAUCUACCACUAUCACCAGUACUAACAACCCUACAAAUAGCUCUACCAUACCCACCACCACCUGCAAAGCCAAUUAUCCAAAUCCAUACAAAGGUUGUUUGGAAAUCCUUUCUGUUGAUCCUGAAGAGAAAUGUAAAAAUGCUGCAUAUGAAAAUGACACAUGCAGUGGGAAAGAAGAAAGCACAUACGUUCUGCAUUUAAAUGGGAGUGAAUGGAUGUGUGUGGCCUGCUUUGUAGAAGGAUCAACCACCUUCACACCACUGUCAAGCACCACAACUAAUCACAAUCCAGCUACCAUUUUCCCAACUCCCGAGCCAACUCUCCCAACAGCUGAGACAAUUUUAAAUCUACAAGGUUACCAAAACAACACAGAUAAAAUUGAUCCCCAAAAGGCAGCAAAAAACUUGGAAAAACUGGAGUCACUGGUGGAGCAGAUGGAGAAAAGCAAUAAAACCAAUGCAGCGAUUGUCAUGGGGGAUGUAAUUGGCGUUCUCCAAAGACAACCCAAGAACACAGCAACCAAAGACAUCAACAUAUGCUACUCUUCAAGUCAGAAUUUAAUAAACGUUGUUGAGAGCAACCAGGCUGGUUUUCCCUGGUCUGUAAAGAUUCCCAGCGAGGCCUUUAAUAAAUCACGGCAGGAAAACAAUGGAAGUGCAUUUGUUGGAAUUUUACGGUUCAAAAAUAUGGGAAAUAAGGAGGACAGUAAAACUCACACUGUUUUGAACAGUGAGAGUUAUGGAAUAACGAUGGGGGCCAGUAUUUCCAACCUCUCCAACAAUAUUGACAUGAUCAUUAAAAAGAAAGAUAAUCUGACCGGUAAUGUGUCCUGCGUUUCUUGGGAUGGCAAAGGAGAACUUAAAUGGACGACGUCCGGCUGUGAGACAGAAAUCGACAACAACACCAUAAAGUGCUCCUGCUCACAUCUGACGUUCUUUGCAGUGCUGAUGUCCCUGCAAAAACCAAAUGACACAGUGCCGGAUCUGGAAACAUUGACUUUAAUUUCUUCAGUCGGCUGCGGCAUCUCCAUGUUUUUUCUGGCCAUCGCUUUAUUCAUGCAUUUCCUGCUACGGUAG
Molecule: long non-coding RNA, 1761 nt
Organism: Cyprinus carpio (common carp)
Lineage: Eukaryota; Metazoa; Chordata; Actinopteri; Cypriniformes; Cyprinidae
Source: Ensembl